Molecule: ribosomal RNA, 465 nt
Filed under: uncultured bacterium
Lineage: Bacteria
Description: partial 16S ribosomal RNA
Rfam family: Bacterial small subunit ribosomal RNA
Source: RNAcentral
GACGAACGCUGGCGGCGUGCUUAACACAUGCAAGUCGAACGGAAAGGCCCCUUUGGGGGUACUCGAGUGGCGAACGGGUGCGUAACACGUGAGUAACCUGCCCUUGACUUCGGGAUAACUUCAGGAAACUGGGGCUAAUACCGGAUAGGAAUCCUUGCUGCAUGGUGGGGGUUGGAAAGCUUCGGCGGUUUUGGAUGGACUCGCGGCUUAUCAGCUUGUUGGUGGGGUAGUGGCUUACCAAGGCUUUGACGGGUAGCCGGCCUGAGAGGGCGACCGGCCACAUUGGGACUGAGAUACGGCCCAGACUCCUACGGGAGGCAGCAGUGGGGAAUAUUGCACAAUGGGCGGAAGCCGGAUGCAGCAACGCCGCGGGCGGGAUGACGGCCUUCGGGUUGUAAACCGCUUUCAGCAGGGGCGAAGCUUGUGGUGACGGUACCUGCAGAAGAAGCACCGGCUAACUACGUG